Molecule: ribosomal RNA, 238 nt
Filed under: uncultured bacterium
Lineage: Bacteria
Description: partial 16S ribosomal RNA
Rfam family: Bacterial small subunit ribosomal RNA
Source: RNAcentral
CGGAACGGGUGAGUAACGCGUGAGGAACCUGCCUCAAAGAGGGGGACAACAGUUGGAAACGACUGCUAAUACCGCAUAAGCCCACGGCUCGGCAUCGAGCAGAGGGAAAAGGAGUGAUCCGCUUUGAGAUGGCCUCGCGUCCGAUUAGCUAGUUGGUGAGGUAACGGCCCACCAAGGCGACGAUCGGUAGCCGGACUGAGAGGUUGAACGGCCACAUUGGGGCUGAGACACGGCCCAG